AGCAGCCGCGGUAAUUCCAGCUCCAAUAGCGUAUAUUAAAGUUGUUGCAGUUAAAAAGCUCGUAGUUGAAUUUCGGAAUUUGUCAGUUGGUCGGGCUUCAUUGUUCGUACUGACUUGAUGGAUUCUUACCUUCUGAAUAACCAGCAUGCUAUUAAGUUAGUGCGUUGGGGAAGCAGAUCUAUUACCUUGAAAAAAUUAGAGUGCUUAAAGCGGGCUAGUGCUUGAAUAGAUUAGCAUGGAAUAAUAAAAUAGGACGGCAUGGUUCUAUUUUGUUGGUUUCUAGGAUCACCGUAAUGAUUAAUAGGGAUAGUUGGGGGCAUUAGUAUUCAAUUGUCAGAGGUGAAAUUCUUGGAUUUAUUGAAGACUAACUUCUGCGAAAGCAUUUGCCAAGGAUGUUUUCAUUAAUCAAGAACGAAAGUUAGGGGAUCGAAGACGAUCAGAUACCGUCGUAGUCUUAACCAUAAACUAUGCCGACUAGGAAUCGGACGAAGUUAAUUUUUUAAUGACUCGUUCGGCACCU
This 520-nucleotide ribosomal RNA is filed under the name uncultured Acaulospora. RNAcentral's name for it is "SSU rRNA". It matches the Rfam family "Eukaryotic small subunit ribosomal RNA", at positions 569 to 1088 of the family's 1831-position model. The record is from RNAcentral. Lineage: Eukaryota; Fungi; Glomeromycota; Glomeromycetes; Diversisporales; Acaulosporaceae.